UGAGGGAAAGUUGCAAAGAACUUUGAAGAGAGAGUUCAAGAGUACGUGAAACUGCUCGGAAGAAAACGGGUGGAUCUUCGAAGUCCCAGCGGUGCGGGAUUCAGUGGCGGGGGGCGAGGCGGGUCCGGAGCCGGUACUCCUUCGGGGGACCGUCGACGGUCGCGUCCUCCUCUCAGCCCUGCACUUCCCGCGCCCGGAGGACGCCGCAGCCGGUCGGGAGUCGGCAGUGAGGACUGGCGGGGCGAUGGCGUGGGCGGCGAUCCAGCAUCGCCGUCCCGAUUCUGUACCCGCCGUGCUCCCGGUGCGACGCCAGGCCGAGGGAAAGACAGAGGUUCGCACUAGGUGCGGACGAGCCGUGGUCUCGCCAGAGAUGGCAGAGCGGGAGAGCGUUCCGGUCCAACCGGUCGGUACGCCCACCACGAGCGUGAGCGACCGACGAAGGUGCUCCGGAAGGGCGCUAGAGACCCGCGGAGGCGAGCCGCGGGCUUGCGGCGAGUAGGUCGGUAACCCACCCGACCCGUCUUGAAACACGGACCAAGGAGUCUAACUUGUGCGCGAGUCAGUGGGACUCGAAUAAGCCCACGGGCGCAAUGAAAGUGAAGUGACGUUCUGUGUUCGUCGCGAUCCCGCAUGCCCGUCGUGGCUCGGGCGCAGCGACGGUCCGGCUCGUCGGUCAGUCUCCACUGGCCGCGGUCGGUACCUGAGCGUACAGGUUGGGACCCGAAAGAUGGUGAACUAUGCCCGGGCAGGUCGAAGCU
Molecule: ribosomal RNA, 758 nt
Filed under: Paiwana chengpoi
Lineage: Eukaryota; Metazoa; Arthropoda; Arachnida; Araneae; Pholcidae
Description: partial 28S ribosomal RNA
Rfam family: Eukaryotic large subunit ribosomal RNA
Source: RNAcentral